RNAcentral lists this ribosomal RNA (253 nucleotides) under uncultured bacterium. Its description in RNAcentral is "partial 16S ribosomal RNA". It matches the Rfam family "Bacterial small subunit ribosomal RNA", at positions 524 to 776 of the family's 1533-position model. The record is from RNAcentral.
UACGUAGGGUGCGAGCGUUGUCCGGAAUUAUUGGGCGUAAAGAGCUCGUAGGCGGUCUGUCGCGUCGAAUGUGAAAACCCGGGGCUCAACUCCGGGCUUGCAUUCGAUACGGGCAGGCUAGAGUUCGGUAGGGGAGUCUGGAAUUCCUGGUGUAGCGGUGAAAUGCGCAGAUAUCAGGAGGAACACCGGUGGCGAAGGCGGGACUCUGGGCCGAUACUGACGCUGAGGCGCGAAAGCUAGGGGAGCAAACGGG